CGGCGGACGGGUGAGUAACACGUGGAUAACUUACCUAUAAGACUGGGAUAACUUCGGGAAACCGGAGCUAAUACCGGAUAAUAUAUUGAACCGCAUGGUUCAAUAGUGAAAGACGGUUUUGCUGUCACUUAUAGAUGGAUCCGCGCCGCAUUAGCUAGUUGGUAAGGUAACGGCUUACCAAGGCAACGAUGCGUAGCCGACCUGAGAGGGUGAUCGGCCACACUGGAACUGAGACACGGUCCAGACUCCUACGGGAGGCAGCAGCC
Molecule: ribosomal RNA, 266 nt
Filed under: uncultured Staphylococcus sp.
Lineage: Bacteria; Bacillati; Bacillota; Bacilli; Caryophanales; Staphylococcaceae
Description: partial 16S ribosomal RNA
Rfam family: Bacterial small subunit ribosomal RNA
Source: RNAcentral